RNAcentral lists this ribosomal RNA (497 nucleotides) under uncultured bacterium. Its description in RNAcentral is "partial 16S ribosomal RNA". It matches the Rfam family "Bacterial small subunit ribosomal RNA", at positions 28 to 507 of the family's 1533-position model. The record is from RNAcentral.
GAUGAACGCUGGCGGCGUGCCUAAUACAUGCAAGUCGAGCGAACAGACGAGGAGCUUGCUCCUCUGACGUUAGCGGCGGACGGGUGAGUAACACGUGGAUAACCUACCUAUAAGACUGGGAUAACUUCGGGAAACCGGAGCUAAUACGGGAUAAUAUAUUAAACCGCAUGGUUCAAUAGUGAAAGACGGUUUUGCUGUCACUUAUAGAUGGAUCCGCGCCGCAUUAGCUAGUUGGUAAGGUAACGGCUUACCAAGGCAACGAUGCGUAGCCGACCUGAGAGGGUGAUCGGCCACACUGGAACUGAGACACGGUCCAGACUCCUACGGGAGGCAGCAGUAGGGAAUCUUCCGCAAUGGGCGAAAGCCUGACGGAGCAACGCCGCGUGAGUGAUGAAGGUCUUCGGAUCGUAAAACUCUGUUAUUAGGGAAGAACAAAUGUGUAAGUAACUAUGCACGUCUUGACGGUACCUAAUCAGAAAGCCACGGCUAACUACGUG